GGCGGACGGGUGAGUAACGCGUGGGUAACCUGCCUUGCACUGGGGGAUAACACUUAGAAAUAGGUGCUAAUACCGCAUAAGCGCACGGUCCUGCAUGGGACAGUGUGAAAAACUCCGGUGGUAUACGAUGGAUCCGCGUCUGAUUAGCUAGUUGGCGGGGUAACGGCCCACCAAGGCAGCGAUCAGUAGCCGGCCUGAGAGGGUGGACGGCCACAUUGGGACUGAGACACGGCCCAAACUCCUACGGGAGGCAGCAGUGAGGAAUAUUGGUCAAUGGCCGGAAGGCUGAACCAGCCAAGUCGCGUGAGGGAAUAAGGCCCUACGGGUCGUAAACCUCUUUUGCCAGGGAGCAAUGCCGUCCACGUGUGGACGGAAGGAGAGUACCUGGAGAAAAAGCAUCGGCUAACUCCGUGCCAGCAGCCGCGGUAAUACGGAGGAUGCGAGCGUUAUCCGGAUUUAUUGGGUUUAAAGGGUGCGCAGGCGGGAUGUCAAGUCAGCGGUCAAAUCGAGGGGCUCAACCCCUUUCCGCCGUUGAAACUGGCGUCCUAGAGUGGGCGAGAAGUACGCGGAAUGCGUGGUGUAGCGGUGAAAUGCAUAGAUAUCACGCAGAACUCCGAUUGCGAAGGCAGCGUACCGGCGCCCAACUGACGCUCAUGCACGAAAGCGUGGGUAUCGAACAGGAUUAGAUACCCUGGUAGUCCACGCAGUAAACGAUGAAUACUAACUGUCCGGCCCGAUUGGGGGCUGGGUGGUACAGCGAAAGCGUUAAGUAUUCCACCUGGGGAGUACGCCGGCAACGGUGAAACUCAAAGGAAUUGACGGGGGCCCGCACAAGCGGAGGAACAUGUGGUUUAAUUCGAUGAUACGCGAGGAACCUUACCCGGGCUCAAACGACGGAUGAAUGUUUUUGAAAGGAGGCAGCCCUUCGGGGCAUCCGUCGAGGUGCUGCAUGGUUGUCGUCAGCUCGUGCCGUGAGGUGUCGGCUUAAGUGCCAUAACGAGCGCAACCCCCAUCGCCAGUUACCAGCAAGUGAAGUUGGGGACUCUGGCGAGACUGCCGGCGCAAGCUGUGAGGAAGGCGGGGAUGACGUCAAAUCAGCACGGCCCUUACGUCCGGGGCGACACACGUGUUACAAUGGCAGGUACAGAGAGAUGCCACCUGGCGACAGGGAGCAGAACUCGAAAGCCUGUCUCAGUUCGGAUCGGAGUCUGCAACCCGACUCCGUGAAGCUGGAUUCGCUAGUAAUCGCGCAUCAGCCAUGGCGCGGUGAAUACGUUCCACGGGCCUUGCACACACCGCCCGUCAAG
Molecule: ribosomal RNA, 1307 nt
Filed under: uncultured bacterium
Lineage: Bacteria
Description: bacterial SSU rRNA
Rfam family: Bacterial small subunit ribosomal RNA
Source: RNAcentral